GCAAGUAUGAGAAUGCAUGAUAAUGCAAAUGACGUGCAUGCCAAUGCAAGUAUGAAAAUGCAUGACAAUGCAAAUGACGUGCAUGACAAUGUAAGUAUGGAAAUGCAUGACAACGCAUGUAACAUAAUAAGAUGUAUGAUGAUGGAAAUGAGAUAUGCGAAACAACGCGGAUGAAGGGGGCGCAAGACAAUGCGACCUAAGGGAACGCAUAAGAGAUGUGCAUAACAAUGCAAGCAUGGCGUUCGCUACAACGCAUAUAGUACGUGCAUAACAAUGCAAGAGGUGUGUGCUACAACACAUAUAGUACGUGCAUAACAAAGCAAGAGGUGUGCGCUACAACGCAUAUAGUACGUGCAUAGCAAUGCAAGAGGGAAUUGAUGUAUAACCAAUGCGCGCUCAUUAUAAACACGACAAAACGUUGUAAUGCAACGUAUUUAAAGCAAUUUCUGAAUCUCGCAUGAGACAAAAGGAUACAAAAAAAGGAUACACCUCAUACGUAUCAAGUGCCGCACUCGGAAGGCACGAUUUGAGGUCAACACGAAGGCCGGUUGAGCUUCAAAAGUCUACUUUCUUGCACUGUCUUGAGAAAUGAAGGUCCCAAACAACGUAACUGACCCAACCAAGGGUGUGGGAGGUGCAUCGACCACAAGGGGAGUCCAUCGGCCACCCAUCGGCCACAAAAUGAGCUCAUUGGCCAAACAUUUAGCCGCUCAGCUAACAAUUUGGCCGAUCGGCCAAAAAUGGCAGUUUCGGGGGCAGUUUUGUCUUUUAGCCACAGGUCUUUAAAUAUAAGGUUCCAAACCUUAUAUCCUCACUUCUACAAGCUCGAAAAUCCUCCCUCUUUCUCUCUAGGUGAUUUUUUUUGCUUCAAUCCAUGUUUUUCUCUUGUUUUCGAGCCUUUUUCGUCGUUCGAUUUGCGAAGCCCUUCUCAUUUUGCACACUUUGAAUGGAUCGAAAUUUAUUUUCGGUGUCCCUUUCUUGGUUUCCACUAUUUGGGGUUUGUUUCCCUCGAGUUAUACCUCGAUCUUCGUGCCUUUUCCACACUCUGACUUUUUCUCCCAUUUUUCACCCCUCGGGGUUGACUUUUGGGUUGACUUUUUGUAUUCUCACCCAUUUUUCACACUUUCAGCCAUUUUUGCACUCUUCUUGAGAUGGCAGACGACAUUCCACAGGGUGGGGCUCCCCCAGAGAUGGACGUGGACCCUGAGAUCGAGCUCUUACCUCUUUGCAUUCGACCAUUCGAUCCGGCGACCUACAGGCCAGUGAUUCACGUGUUGCCUCCCGACGACAUUCGCCACUUCAGGGGCUAUGCGAGGGGCGCGCCACUGGAGCUUUUGUUGCGUGAGCCAGAGUCACAUCUGUCCUAUGAUCUGAUCCCUUUUGACACCGAUAUGGACGACUGGGAUGCCGCACAGAUUUACUUGCAUGGCGCUCAGCCCCCUCUCUCCCGUAUAGGAUUUGUGAGGUACUCUUGGUUUGAGGACCACUUCAGGAUCCAGACGCCCACGACUUUGGAGGAGGUGGAGCAGUAUGCUCGCGGCUUCAUCAUGUUCCUGCUGGGGACCACACUCUUCGACGAUCGAGCGAACACUAUCGCCCUCUACUUGCUGAGCGCACUGGUGGACGUGACCCGGAUCCAACGCUAUGAUUGGGGUGGCGCAGGCUUGGCCACUCUCGAUGGAUAUAUGAGCCCAUCUUCCCGCCGCAGUGGACAGUUACUUGGGGGCUACUGGCGAGCCUGGGAGUUGUGGGUGUAUGCCUACUUUCCUAGGCUUGCCCCAGUGCCGGAUGAGGAGAUGCCCCCUAUGGUUCCCUUUUCUCACCGAUUCGACGUCAGGUGCGAGCGGAGGCCACGAGAGUCCUUCUUGUUCUUCCGCCGAUACUUUGACACCAUCAUUGCUGCAGAGAUCACUUGGUAGCCCGAGGCGAUGUUGCCCGAUAGAGUGAGAGAGGGUACGGAGGUGCUCGGGAGACUGCCUAUUUCAAGAUUCUGCUAGAGGGCCCGGUCUGUCAGGCAUGGUAUUUCGGGGAGCGCUUCUUGCGGCAGACCUUGGGCUUGCCAGAGCAGACAGUUCCAGUACCUCCUCCUACCCACACGAGGCACACCGAGAGGUAUACCUUAGAGGAGAUGAUAGACUACACGCUGGGUUGGGACUCUGAGCCCUUUAGAGACGAGAGCGACUACAACGAGUUUAUCCAGGCCUAUCUGAGGCGGCUUUUGACCGAUGCUCGCUGAGCCGAGAGAGAGAGAGGCCUGCGGCACCAGUGGUAGGAGCAGAAGCAUCGAGGGCGACUCAGGCCCGUGGGAGGAGUGGGUCUCGGAGAGGACAGGAAGCUAUAUGGCCAGAGUUGCCUACGACGAUGACAUGCCGAGGACAGGGUGGGGAGAUGUACCAGAUACCCAUCGCUCCUCCUCCGGCUGAUCAUGAACUUAUCGGAGUCUACGGCUCGACCCAGCCUCCAUCGAGUACACUCAGCAGUCUCUGGAGCUGACUGCUUCCGUGAUGGGGAUGCUGCAGCGGAGCAUCGACUUAUUGACCAUCUACGGCAUCCCAGUGAGCCGGCAUAUGACCAGGGCCAGAGUUGACAGCCUUCUGUACUGUUUCAUCAGCCAACCUUUGUGCCUCUCGAGGAGGCCCCAUUCCAAAUUCUGGCCGCGGGAGGUGCUCCAGCUAGACCAUCCGUACCUACCCGAGGAGGAGGGGGAGUCAGGCGGAGGAUGACUAUUCACACCCGAGGCAGACACAGGCGCACCCGUGCUGAGAGCAGUUCACGAGAGCCUUCCCCCGAUGAUUCUGAUGAGGAGGCUGAGGCGUCCCAGGGUGAGGUCGGAGACAGCUCAGACUCUGACUACGGAGCUGGUGGUGGUGAUCCUGGACCCUCGUCCAGGAAGAGGACCAGGACGGAUUCCUGUGCUCGAGACAAUUGAUAUUGAUCCAGACUUUGCUGCUUUUAUUCUUUUUGCUUUGAUCAGACAUUUUGUUGCUUUUCCUUUUUUGUUUUACUUUUCUUUUUAUUGGUAGUUUGAGCACAUUGUAUUGCCUCAGGCAGGUUUUAC
Camellia sinensis is the source of this 3058-nucleotide non-coding RNA. The record is from RefSeq and is a predicted model, not a curated record. Lineage: Eukaryota; Viridiplantae; Streptophyta; Magnoliopsida; Ericales; Theaceae.